UGAUCCAAACCAGCCAUGCAACAGCCAAGACAGGUACACAAACUGAAUAGAAAGGAUUUAGGAACCCGUGGGCUACGUUGCAUUGGUGCCUUCUCAGGUCUCAAAAAGUGCAGUGCAGGGAGGAGCAUCUGGUAAUCCCUACUGUAGAAGGGAAAACAAUGGCCCAGAGCAUUGUAUCACUGAGUAGCCAAGUUGGGAAUCCCACCCGAAUCAAUCCUGUCUCUGGACAAAGCUGUGACUUCCCUAUGAAUACAACAGAUGCCCAUACCAAAGCAAUUACUGUAUGGAAGAUGCUGACUGGCUGGAAGAACCUGUCCAUUCUGGGUCUGUAAUGGAGUCUGUGAGGAGAUCAGCUUCCUGGUGUGGAAGAAGGCAGCCGUCUGAUCUUCAGGUUGCUCCUGUCCUAGAGAAGACAUAAGGGGGCUUGUGUUGUGAACAGUCCUGCCUGGAGUCAAUUCCAAUCUGAGAAGAUGGCAUGAAGGACAAAAUCAUCACCCACUUGUGAUGGGGACAAGUGUAGCUGCUUAAAUUGCCAGUCCUGGUGUUCAGCAAGUAGGGAAGAUGUCAGAGCUCUCCUGCAGAGUUAACAUGCCCGACACAGAGACCAACUUAGUCAUUAUAGGACUCCAGGAUCCUGGCCAGAUGGAGCAAGAGAGGCUGCCAAAUCCGUCAGGUUGAUGGAGCCAGCAGGCUGCUCCACCUGACUGUCUGGAAGCAUUCUUUUGCUCUCUUGGGAGGUUCUCAGCGCGUCUCCAUUUCCUCUGAAAGAAGGUUCACCCAUGACUGCCAACAUCUCUGUCAGGAAAAGAACUUCUUUGUCAACACUGAGAAGAGAUCCUGAAGAAUCCCGAGGUGCGUGAGGAGGCUCGUUUUACACCUGAAAGUGCUAUCCUAAGUGCGUACAUGGCAGUGAGGUGGAGCUCCGAAAUAGGAGAGAGGGACAGAGAAAAAGAAGAGGUGGAAAAAAGCACCAGCAACAAGCCCAGCAAGUUCACUGAAUGCAUAAGCAGUACCAUCAGUGUGUGCUUGUGAAAUACUUAGUUGGAGAGAGUAGCCUUACUGGUUCUGGCUGAUUCAAACAAUAGGUCUCUUUUACCUGUCAUUAACAUGUGAGAUGUUCACCCUGGCCAGGAAAUCUGUCACUUUUUGUCCAGUUCACUGUAGCUUGUCACACACUGAAAAGACAUGCAACUCCAUGCUCUUUUCUCUCUUUCCUUAAUGCAGAGGUUCCCAAACCAUGACAAAGACCCCUAUCAACCUUCUUUAAGUCUUUUGGAGCACUUAGACCUUUAUUGUUCAACUCUGAAUAGAGAGCUUUUAAGAAUACUUGGUUCUUCAGGACAACUAGACUUUUAUAACCUCACCAGCCAUCCAUAGAUCAAGGGUGGGAAGUUCUGUUUUGGCCAAAAAGGUGCCAAUUUUUGAUUAUUUUCUCUUUGAUUUUUAAAAUACAACAAGAAUUCUGGUGAAGAAGAACUGCAUCUAAUAAGGAGCAAAGGAUUAAUGAAGAAGAAAAUGGGAGAUCUUUUUUUGCUGACGUGGAAAGGGAGAAAAAAAUAAAACGGCUGCUUGUGGAAACAUGGAAAGUCUCCAGUGUAAUGAUAAUAAGAAUAAUUUCAAAUAUAUUUUCUGAGAUCUGAACAGUAUUUAUAUGCAAAUACUAUCUAAGAAGGUAGUGGAAAAAAAAAUCAGUUUUCCUGACAUUGGCUGGGAAACAGAAUUUGCAGUUCUGGAAGACUUGCAAUUUCCAUAGGAACCAGAUGAGAUGAAGUAGAAAGACUUAACAGAGGUGAUUAAAAAGUAUUUUGUACUGAAAACAAACUUUCUAGCUGAAUGACAUAAAUUACAUUUAAGAGAGCAAAUGACUUUCUAGUGAGUAUAAAAAAAACAUGCCAGUAUCUGCCCUUUGGUAACUGUGUUAGAAAGCGUUAGAUGGCAGAGAGCUCAGCUGCAGAGCACAGCCAUGUGCAGUGCACACCCAUGGGCACAUCUUUGGGGUUGAGUUGAUGUAAAUCUAGUUUAUGCUACCAGAAUUUUGUGGUCCUGUUAGUACUCAAAUACAUGCAAAAUAAACUCAGUGCUUCAUAAAUCGAGAAAGGACCUUCACUAUUUUCUCUUGUUCUGAACAGAGGUCGGAGGUGAGUGAUGGGGCAGAACACUUCAUCCCUGCUGUCUGAUGUUUGGUAAUUUUAAUGAGAAAAAAAAUUAUGGAUUAUAUCCUGCAUUAAAGAUUUGUCUCCUUUUGUCUUUUGUUUUGGUUAUUUUAGCAGUAAUAAUUUUGUGGUUUCUGUACUCACCUUCCUAAAGAGGGGUGCCAUCACAAACAAGCAAGCUACUUCCUCUGUAGUGCUAUUUCUGUUUUAUUAGUGAACUAAAAAAAGAGCUUUGAUCUACUGUUCAGCUUGAUAUGUAAUGAGAUAUUUUAAUCAAAUUCUGCUCUUGACUGAACUCAUGCAAGAUAAUACAGAUAUAAGUUCUUGGGGUUUCUGGACAGUCAGAUGGGAUCUUGCAGUUAGAUCUUGUUGGUGUGAGUUCGGUGGACACCACUGCAGGGAUAGAGAUCUUUCCAUAGAAAAUUCAUUGCAGGAUUGGGGCAUAAGAGCAAAUGCAUUUGGCCCUGAACACAAUUAAUUAAUGCAUGGCUAAAGCUUGUUUAUAUGUGUUCGUCCUUCUCCCACUGAAGUUGAUGGCAAAACUCCCAUGGAGUUCAGCAAAGUGGGAUGGAAUCUAUACAAAAAUUAUUUUUCCCAGAACAACUUUGCAAUAACCAGAGGAUUUGCAAGCUCCUCACUCUGACACAUUGAAAUAAUUUGGGACUUUCAUUCCAUUUUGCUUUAAUUGGACUUAUGCUACAUCUGAGUCUUCCUAAGUGGGUUGCUGUGCCUAAAAUAUGUGCAGGCAUGUUUGCACUCUCUGAGGGAACACGGAGGUUAAACUAGAAGGUGAGGUUAUGUUAGCAAGGAUAUUUUCUUUUUAUACUGCUUCCAAAGGCAACCCUGUUUUGGGCUCACCACUCUGCCUUGACCGCUCUGUGCCUCGCCAUACCAAAUCAUGCUGGGAUUUGAUGAUAAAGCACAUCCUCUUUCCAGGAGCCAAGCCAAGCCCUACAUCCUAACUCACUGGUGUUCUGGUACCUUAGGCACUUUGUGGUCAGGAGGCAGACUGUAAAUGCGGGUAUUAGCUGUGGUGACGCUGGAAUGUCCAAACCCUCUGUAGGAAGAGAAGAAAAUUCUUACAAAGCUGCUGUUGCCCAUUUCAUUCCUAUUUCCUUUGUUUUUAUGUUUCUCAGACUGUGCCAGCUGAGAUGAUAGCUCUUAGCUGGAUACCAGCACUUGCAGGGCCUGAUUUGGUUCAUGUCUUCUAUAAAAGUUUUCCAUCUCUGACCAAGGUAUUUCAGAUCAGGGUAAAAAUGUGAGUAAAUCAGAGCUGGCAUCUAUCCCAGACAUAUCAAUUCCCUUAAUUCUCUUUUUCCUGUGGCUUUGGGACAAUCAAAAUAGGGAAUGUUUCCAUUGCUAUACCUUUAUGAAAGUACAAUAUGUGAACACCAUAUCCUGAGUGCAUCUAGUGUGUUUCCUUACCUUGGUUGUUACCAACUGCACAGAUUUCUCUGGCAAUGAUGUGAAAUGGAGCACUGCAGUAGAGUAAAUCUUUUGGUAGGGCUUGGUUCCAGGGAAGAUCAAAACCCCCAGCAUGACAGUUAAUGAAACAAGGAGAAAGAAGAUGGGAGCUAUCAUUCCCAGCCAGCCAACACUAACAGAGUCCGAAGGCAACUGGAGGUGCCAAGGUGUCUGCUUGCAAAAUUUGGAGAGAGCUGUGGGGGUCACAGGGAGGGCUGCACCAAGGCCAGUUUUGCUGGCAAGAAAAGUGACUUAUGAUGACAGAGGAACAGUGGAGACAACUCAUCCUCUCCAAGAGGACACGUAGUGUCUUUUUUAAGAUACAGAACAAGCUGGCAUUAUUCUGCAUCCCUUGGGCAACAGUACUUUGCUGUGGAGCUGACCUGGGUGGAGUACAUGGAGCAUGGCCUGGAUCUAGGGGUAUAAACUGUACGCACAGUAACUGCAAGGACAAAAUAGCAUGAACUGAGCAGUGCAGAGCACCUGGUCCCCAGGGCAGACAGCCAGUGCCCUUCAUAAAGGAGUUAAUGACAAAAUGUGUCAGUCUGCUGUAGCAUGAGCCCUAAAGCAGAGCAGAGAGUGAACACCUCCUGUAACGAGCCUAUUUAUCUCUAAAGCAGUGUUUCUCAGACUGUGAUCCACGGGCCUUUGGUGGUCUAUAAAACAUUCAGUGGUGGCUCAUGAAAUAGUAGUAAACCCUCUCUCCUCCCUCCAACAGCCACAGAAGCAAGCACACAAACAAAAUGGAAGAAAA
This is a long non-coding RNA of Athene cunicularia (burrowing owl), 4371 nucleotides long. RefSeq lists it as uncharacterized. The transcript has 8 exons. NCBI's taxonomy places the organism in Eukaryota, Metazoa, Chordata, Aves, Strigiformes, Strigidae. The record is from RefSeq and is a predicted model, not a curated record.